RNAcentral lists this microRNA precursor (144 nucleotides) under Cajanus cajan (pigeon pea). Its description in RNAcentral is "miRNA gene-KK1_019250". The record is from RNAcentral. Lineage: Eukaryota; Viridiplantae; Streptophyta; Magnoliopsida; Fabales; Fabaceae.
AGAGGCCUUUGUGUAGCCAGAGUUGACUUGUCGGCCAACUAGUAAGCAUAGGAACAUGAUACAUAGCAUGGCAUGAGUAGGUGGUCAUAAUGAUGCCAAAACAAGCUUAACAAGCUAGUCAUCCUUGGCUGCACUACAAGACCU